RNAcentral lists this ribosomal RNA (450 nucleotides) under uncultured prokaryote. RNAcentral describes it as "bacterial SSU rRNA". It matches the Rfam family "Bacterial small subunit ribosomal RNA", at positions 355 to 796 of the family's 1533-position model. The record is from RNAcentral.
UGGGGAAUAUUGCGCAAUGGCCGAAAGGCUGACGCAGCGACGCCGCGUGUGGGAGGAAGCCCUUCGGGGUGUAAACCACUGUCAGGGGGGAAGAACCUCGUCUGCGGGAAUACUGCAGGCGACUGACGGUACCCCCAGAGGAAGCACCGGCUAACUCCGUGCCAGCAGCCGCGGUAAUACGGAGGGUGCAAGCGUUGUUCGGAAUUACUGGGCGUAAAGCGCGGGCAGGCGGUCUUUUAAGUCUUCUGUGAAACUCCGGGGCUCAACUCCGGACAUGCAGGAGAUACUGGAAGACUGGAGAUCGGUAGAGGCAGGCGGAAUUCCUGGUGUAGCGGUGGAAUGCGUAGAUAUCAGGAAGAACACCUGUGGCGAAGGCGGCCUGCUGGGCCGAUUCUGACGCUGAUCCGCGAAAGCGUGGGGAGCAAACAGGAUUAGAUACCCCCGUAGUCC